Long non-coding RNA from Gambusia affinis (western mosquitofish), 863 nucleotides. RefSeq lists it as uncharacterized. The record is from RefSeq and is a predicted model, not a curated record. Lineage: Eukaryota; Metazoa; Chordata; Actinopteri; Cyprinodontiformes; Poeciliidae. The transcript has 3 exons.
CCCAUGGACCUUCUAGUUGCUUUUCUGAUUAACGCUCCUUUCAGCAGCAGCGUUCAUGUCACACCGGCCCUCACCAGAAAUGAGUUGAUUGAGGCAAUCCCUCCCAUUAAUGAUGCCAACUGUUCUAAACGGCGCUGGAGCUGAGCUGAACGGAGGAGGAGGGAGAUGUCAACGAGACGGAAGCUGCACGCAAGCGGCGAGGACAAUGCUCAGGAUUUUACAGGCUGCUGUUCAGAUAUAAAUGGAUGAUAUACCGACUUCCACCCAUCGCUCUCUCUUUCCCUCCCACACACUCUGAUUCUUAAGCAGGUUUUGUUUUAUUAACUCCUUUAAAUGUACAUAUGUGGCUUUAUUUGCCUGUCACACGUGAGCAUAUUUGGGAGAUUAUGAAAUAUAUCUACAUCUGGUUGUUGUGCAGACUGCGCUCAGAUACAUAAAAGUCAUGACUUUAUUUUUACAAAGAAUCAAUUAGAUCAUAUACUUUUAUGGUGGAGCCUUUUCCAUUGGCAAGUCAUCUGAAAGCUGCUUGUUCUUCGUAUUGACUGAAUGAAAAGUAAAUAAAACAGCCUGCAUCAGGAGGAACAUUGAUGAUGCAGCAAAAUGGCACUUAAGAAUAUUAUUAUUGUUCUUUUAUGUGUUCUCCAGAGAGCAGCUACACCUGCAAAAAUAUACAGAAAAUCACAUUCAACGCAUGAAUAUUGGAGAUUGAGAAAUAAGUAAUACAUUCACAUCAACCGAUGAACAGCACAAAUGAGAUUAAAGUUUCAUCUUUGAGAAAAAAGCUUACCUGAAUCUGAAGCUGAAUGUGUGUAUUUAUAAUAAAAAAAAAUAUGGUUCUCAUAAACCCACCAUAAAAAAUUCAA